GUCUGGUGCCAGCAGCCGCGGUAAUUCCAGCUCCAAUAGCGUAUGUUAAACUUGUUGCAGUUAAAAAGCUCGUAGUUGAAUUUCUGCGUCACCGUAUUUUGACUUUUGUCGACUGUCGGUUUCGCUUUUGGGAUUUAUCCCUUUUUACUUUGAGAAAAUUAGAGUGUUUCAAGCAGACUUUUGUCUUGAAUACUUCAGCAUGGAAUAAUAGAGUAGGACUUUGGUUCUAUUUUGUUGGUUUGUGAACCUUAGUAAUGGUUAAUAGGAACGGUUGGGGGCAUUCGUAUUUAACUGUCAGAGGUGAAAUUCUUAGAUUUGUUAAAGACGAACUACUGCGAAAGCAUUUGCCAAGGACGUUUUCAUUAAUCAAGAACGAAAGUUAGGGGAUCGAAGACGAUCAGAUACCGUCGUAGUCCUAACCAUAAACU
This 428-nucleotide ribosomal RNA is filed under the name Babesia odocoilei. Its description in RNAcentral is "SSU rRNA". It matches the Rfam family "Eukaryotic small subunit ribosomal RNA", at positions 559 to 1038 of the family's 1831-position model. The record is from RNAcentral. Lineage: Eukaryota; Apicomplexa; Aconoidasida; Piroplasmida; Babesiidae.